GAAUUCACUAGUGAUUCAGGCCUAACACAUGCAAGUCGAACGAACUCUGGUAUUGAUUGGUGCUUGCAUCAUGAUUUACAUUUGAGUGAGUGGCGAACUGGUGAGUAACACGUGGGAAACCUGCCCAGAAGCGGGGGAUAACACCUGGAAACAGAUGCUAAUACCGCAUAACAACUUGGACCGCAUGGUCCGAGCUUGAAAGAUGGCUUCGGCUAUCACUUUUGGAUGGUCCCGCGGCGUAUUAGCUAGAUGGUGGGGUAACGGCUCACCAUGGCAAUGAUACGUAGCCGACCUGAGAGGGUAAUCGGCCACAUUGGGACUGAGACACGGCCCAAACUCCUACGGGAGGCAGCAGUAGGGAAUCUUCCACAAUGGACGAAAGUCUGAUGGAAAAGGGCCGCGUGAGUGAAGAAGGGUUUCGGCUCGUAAAAAAAGGUUGUUAAAGAAGAACAUAUCUGAGAGUAACUGUUCAGGUAUUGACGGUAUAACCA
This 491-nucleotide ribosomal RNA is filed under the name uncultured bacterium. RNAcentral's name for it is "bacterial SSU rRNA". It matches the Rfam family "Bacterial small subunit ribosomal RNA", at positions 34 to 485 of the family's 1533-position model. The record is from RNAcentral.